AACCCUUGUGGAGGAGGACGCCGAAGGUGGGGCUAAUGACUGGGGUGAAGUCGUAACAAGGUAGCCGUACCGGAAGGUGCGGCUGGAUCACCUCCUAACAGGGAGACAACAAAAUGUUUAAUAUUAUUAUUUUGUCACCUUAGGUCGAUCGGUAUCUCACAUUCUUAAUUUAUUAAGGAUUUCAUUUCCUAAGUUUUUUCUAGGUCACACCCAUUAUUUUUCCUGGGCCAUUAGCUCAGGUGGUUAGAGCGCACCCCUGAUAAGGGUGAGGUCCCUGGUUCAAGUCCAGGAUGGCCCAUAUCUCUAUGUUGGGGGUAUAGCUCAGUUGGUAGAGCGCCUGCUUUGCAAGCAGGAUGUCAGCGGUUCGAGUCCGCUUACCUCCACUGAUUACCACCUCUUACAUAAUCUGAUAAAGGAAAUGUUUUGAGUUGUGAUCAAAUUCUGAACGAUUCUAGCUUCCUAAUGAAAUCAUUAAGAUGCUGGAUUCAUUGAAUUAAUUUCAUUGUUUUCAGAGAACCUUGACAACUGCAUAGAUUAUUUUUAAAGACAAUAAGCAUCUUUAAUGAUGCAGAUUUAUUAUUUGUGCGAAUGCAUUAAAUAACAAUUCUAUUAAGCUGAUGCUUCAAUUAUUGAAGUUAUUGGUCAAGCUACAAAGGGCUCACGGAGGAUACCUAGGCACACAGAGGC
Molecule: unclassified non-coding RNA, 687 nt
Filed under: uncultured Prochlorococcus sp.
Lineage: Bacteria; Bacillati; Cyanobacteriota; Cyanophyceae; Synechococcales; Prochlorococcaceae
Description: partial may contain 16S ribosomal RNA, 16S-23S ribosomal RNA intergenic spacer, and 23S ribosomal RNA
Rfam family: Bacterial small subunit ribosomal RNA (bases 1-98)
Source: RNAcentral